UGAACCUACAUGUGUAGGAUAGGUGGGAGGCUUUGAAGACGUGACGCCAGUUGCGUUGGAGCCGUCCUUGAAAUACCACCCUUGUAUGUUUGAUGUUCUAACUUAGCCCCAUUAUCUGGGGUGAGGACAGUGCCUGGUGGGUAGUUUGACUGGGGCGGUCUCCUCCCAAAGAGUAACGGAGGAGCACGAAGGUGGGCUAAUCACGGUUGGACAUCGUGAGGUUAGUG
This 227-nucleotide ribosomal RNA is filed under the name Vibrio cholerae. RNAcentral's name for it is "partial 23S ribosomal RNA". It matches the Rfam family "Bacterial large subunit ribosomal RNA", at positions 2125 to 2351 of the family's 2925-position model. Lineage: Bacteria; Pseudomonadati; Pseudomonadota; Gammaproteobacteria; Vibrionales; Vibrionaceae. The record is from RNAcentral.